CCUACGGGUGGCAGCAGUGGGGGAUAUUGCACAAUGGGGGAAACCCUGAUGCAGCGACGCCGCGUGGGCGAAGAAGUAUUUCGGUAUGUAAAGCCCUAUCAGCAGGGAAGAAGAAAUGACGGUACCCGAGUAAGAAGCACCGGCUAAAUACGUGCCAGCAGCCGCGGUAAUACGUAUGGUGCAAGCGUUAUCCGGAUUUAUUGGGUUUAAAGGGUGGGUAGGCUGUGAGGUAAGUCAGCGGGGAAAUUCCCCCGGGCAAAGGGGUGAAGUGCCAUUGAUACUGCCUUGCGUGGAUGGGGAAGGGGUAGGAGGAAUGUGGGGUGUAGCGGGGAAAUGCAUAGAUA
This 344-nucleotide ribosomal RNA is filed under the name uncultured bacterium. Its description in RNAcentral is "partial 16S ribosomal RNA". It matches the Rfam family "Bacterial small subunit ribosomal RNA", at positions 338 to 696 of the family's 1533-position model. The record is from RNAcentral.